RNAcentral lists this ribosomal RNA (253 nucleotides) under uncultured bacterium. RNAcentral's name for it is "partial 16S ribosomal RNA". It matches the Rfam family "Bacterial small subunit ribosomal RNA", at positions 524 to 776 of the family's 1533-position model. The record is from RNAcentral.
UACAGAGGGUGCGAGCGUUAAUCGGAAUUACUGGGCGUAAAGGGUGCGUAGGUGGGUUGGUAAGUCAGUGGUGAAAUACUUUCGCUUAACGAAGGAACUGCCAUUGAUACUACCAGUCUUGAAUACAGUGGAGGUAGGCGGAAUGCGUCAUGUAGCGGUGAAAUGCUUAGAUAUGACGCAGAACACCAAUUGCGAAGGCAGCUUGCUACACUGUUAUUGACACUGAGGCACGAAAGCGUGGGGAUCAAACAGG